RNAcentral lists this ribosomal RNA (778 nucleotides) under uncultured Alphaproteobacteria bacterium. RNAcentral's name for it is "bacterial SSU rRNA". It matches the Rfam family "Bacterial small subunit ribosomal RNA", at positions 8 to 823 of the family's 1533-position model. Lineage: Bacteria; Pseudomonadati; Pseudomonadota; Alphaproteobacteria. The record is from RNAcentral.
AGAGUUUGAUCAUGGCUCAGAAUGAACGCUGGCGGCAUGCUAACACAUGCAAGUCGAAGGUGAAACUCCUUUCGGGGAGUGGAAACUGGCGAACGGGUGAGUAACACGUGGGAAUCUGCCUUGGAGUGGGGAAUAACCGCUGGAAACGGCGGCUAAUACCCCAUACGCCCUGAGGGGAAAGAUUUAUUCGCUCCAAGAUGAGCCCGCGGCGGAUUAGGUUGUUGGUGGGGUAAAGGCCUACCAAGCCCGGGAUCCGUAGCUGGUCUGAGAGGAUGAACAGCCACACUGGGACUGAGAUACGGCCCAGACUCCUACGGGAGGCAGCAGUGGGGAAUAUUGGACAAUGGGGGAAACCCUGAUCCAGCGAUGCCGCGUGAGUGAUGAAGGCCCUAGGGUUGUAAAACUCUUUCGGCGGGGAAGAUGAUGACUGUACCCGCUAAAGAAGCUCCGUCUAACUUCGUGCCAGCAGACGCGGUAAUACGAAGGGGGCUAGCGUUGUUCGGAAUUACUGGGCGUAAAGAGCGCAUAGGCGUUUUUGUAAGUUGCAGGUGAAAUCCCCGGGCUUAACCCGGGAAGUGCCUUCAAUACUGCAUAACUAGAGUUCGGGAGAGGAUGGUGGAAUUCCAAGUGUAGAGGUGGAAUUCGUAGAUAUUUGGAAGAACACCAAAGGCGAAGGCGACCAUCUGGCCCGUUUCUGACGCUGAGGCGCGAAAGCGUGGGGAGUAAACAGGAUUAGAUACCCUGGCAGUCCACGCAGUAAACGAUGAGUGCUUGCUGU